GUGUCAGCAGCCGCGGUAAUACGUAGGGGGCAAGCGUUGUCCGGAAUCAUUGGGCGUAAAGCGCGUGUAGGCGGUUCCGUAAGUCUGCUGUGAAAGUCGGAGGCUCAACCUUCGAAAGCCGGUGGAUACUGUGGAACUAGAGUCCGGAAGAGGCAUGUGGAAUUCCUGGUGUAGCGGUGAAAUGCGCAGAUAUCAGGAGGAACACCAACGGCGAAGGCAGCAUGCUGGGACGGUACUGACGCUGAGACGCGAAAGCGUGGGGAGCAAACAGGAUUAGAUACCCUUGUAGUCC
RNAcentral lists this ribosomal RNA (292 nucleotides) under uncultured bacterium. RNAcentral's name for it is "partial 16S ribosomal RNA". It matches the Rfam family "Bacterial small subunit ribosomal RNA", at positions 505 to 796 of the family's 1533-position model. The record is from RNAcentral.